AAAUCAUGAUGAGGGUACCUUCUAAAAAGAUCUUUAAAUCUCUCCCAUGCAUCAUGCAAUGUCUCCAUAUAAAAUUGAACAAAAGAGGAUAUGUCGUUUCUCAACUU
Molecule: small nucleolar RNA, 107 nt
Organism: Gossypium arboreum
Lineage: Eukaryota; Viridiplantae; Streptophyta; Magnoliopsida; Malvales; Malvaceae
Rfam family: Plant small nucleolar RNA R71
About the family: R71 is a member of the C/D box family of snoRNAs containing the C (UGAUGA) and D (CUGA) box motifs. Multiple nearly identical copies of this snoRNA have been identified in Arabidopsis, and it is thought to function as a 2'-O-ribose methylation guide for 18S ribosomal RNA.
Source: Rfam